AUACGGGGGGGGCAAGCGUUGUUCGGAAUUACUGGGCGUAAAGGGCUCGUAGGUGGCCAACUAAGUCAGACGUGAAAUCCCUCGGCUUAACCGGGGAACUGCGUCUGAUACUGGAUGGCUUGAGAUUGGGAGAGGGAUGCGGAAUUCCAGGUGUAGCGGUGAAAUGCGUAGAUAUCUGGAGGAACACCGGUGGCGAAGGCGGCAUCCUGGACCAACACUGACACUGAGGAGCGAAAGCCAGGGGAGCAAACGG
This 253-nucleotide ribosomal RNA is filed under the name uncultured prokaryote. RNAcentral describes it as "partial 16S ribosomal RNA". It matches the Rfam family "Bacterial small subunit ribosomal RNA", at positions 523 to 775 of the family's 1533-position model. The record is from RNAcentral.